This 460-nucleotide ribosomal RNA is filed under the name uncultured bacterium. RNAcentral's name for it is "partial 16S ribosomal RNA". It matches the Rfam family "Bacterial small subunit ribosomal RNA", at positions 338 to 795 of the family's 1533-position model. The record is from RNAcentral.
CCUACGGGUGGCUGCAGUGAGGAAUAUUGGUCAAUGGACGCAAGUCUGAACCAGCCAAGCCGCGUGAAGGAAGACUGCUCUAUGAGUUGUAAACUGCUUUUGUACGAGGGGAAUAGCUGAUACGCGUAUCUGUCUGACAGUAUCUUGCGAAUAAGGAUCGGCUAACUCCGUGCCAGCAGCCGCGGUAAUACGGAGGAUUCAAGCGUUAUCCGGAUUUAUUUGGUUUAAAGGGUGCGUAGGCGGUCGGAUAAGGUAGAGGUGAAAUCACGGGGCUUAACUUCGGAAUUGCCUCUGAUACUGUUCGACUAGAGAGUAGAUGCGGUAGGCGGAAUGAAUGGAGUAGCGGUGAAAUGCUUAGAGAUCAUACAGAACACCGAUUGCGAAGGCAGCUUACCAGGCUACUUCUGACGUUGAGGCACGAGAGCGUGGGGAGCAAACAGGAUUAGAUACCCUAGUAGUC